AGCAGCCGCGGUAAUUCCAGCUCCAAUAGCGUAUAUUAAAGUUGUUGCAGUUAAAAAGCUCGUAGUUGAAUUUCGGGGUUAGUAGAUUGGUCAUGCCUCUGGUAUGCACUGGUCUUACUGAUUCCUCCUUCCUGAUGAACCGUAAUGCCAUUAAUUUGGUGUUGCGGGGAAACUGGACUGUUACUUUGAAAAAUUAGAGUGUUUAAAGCAGGCUAACGCCUUGAAUACAUUAGCAUGGAAUAAUGAAAUAGGACGUUCGAUCUUAUUUUGUUGGUUUCUAGGAUUGACGUAAUGAUUAAUAGGGAUAGUUGGGGC
RNAcentral lists this ribosomal RNA (315 nucleotides) under uncultured Glomus. Its description in RNAcentral is "SSU rRNA". It matches the Rfam family "Eukaryotic small subunit ribosomal RNA", at positions 569 to 888 of the family's 1831-position model. The record is from RNAcentral. Lineage: Eukaryota; Fungi; Glomeromycota; Glomeromycetes; Glomerales; Glomeraceae.